GAUGCCAAGAUGGCUGCCAUUCAUGCACCCGAGGACA
Molecule: transfer RNA, 37 nt
Filed under: Pinguinus impennis (great auk)
Lineage: Eukaryota; Metazoa; Chordata; Aves; Charadriiformes; Laridae
Description: partial tRNA-Phe
Source: RNAcentral